CAAUAGCGUAUAUUAAAGUUGUUGCAGUUAAAAAGCUCGUAGUUGGAUUUCGGGGCAGCCUGGCUGGUCCGCCGCAAGGCGAGUACUGGUCAGCCGCCCUUCCUCUCGAAAGCCCCGACUGCUCUUCGUUGCAGUGGUCGGGUAGUUCGGGACGUUUACUUUGAAAAAAUUAGAGUGUUCAAGGCAGGCCUACGCCUGAAUACAUUAGCAUGGAAUAAUGGAAGAGGACCUCGGUCCUAUUUUGUUGGUUUCCAGGGCCGAAGUAAUGAUUAAGAGGGACAGUUGGGGGCAUUCGUAUUCAAUUGUCAGAGGUGAAAUUCUUGGAUUUAUGGAAGACGAACAACUGCGAAAGCAUUUGCCAAGGAUGUUUUCAUUAA
This 377-nucleotide ribosomal RNA is filed under the name uncultured eukaryote. RNAcentral describes it as "partial 18S ribosomal RNA". It matches the Rfam family "Eukaryotic small subunit ribosomal RNA", at positions 592 to 976 of the family's 1831-position model. The record is from RNAcentral.